RNAcentral lists this ribosomal RNA (253 nucleotides) under uncultured Blautia sp. RNAcentral's name for it is "partial 16S ribosomal RNA". It matches the Rfam family "Bacterial small subunit ribosomal RNA", at positions 524 to 776 of the family's 1533-position model. Lineage: Bacteria; Bacillati; Bacillota; Clostridia; Lachnospirales; Lachnospiraceae. The record is from RNAcentral.
UACGUAGGGGGCAAGCGUUAUCCGGAUUUACUGGGUGUAAAGGGAGCGUAGACGGCGGUGCAAGCCAGAUGUGAAAGCCCGGGGCUCAACCCCGGGACUGCAUUUGGAACUGUGCUGCUAGAGUGUCGGAGAGGCAGGCGGAAUUCCUAGUGUAGCGGUGAAAUGCGUAGAUAUUGCGCAGAACUCCGAUUGCGAAGGCAGCAUACCGGCGGCGAUCUGACGCUGAGGCACGAAAGCGUGGGUAUCGAACAGG